Molecule: non-coding RNA, 246 nt
Filed under: Bacillus safensis
Lineage: Bacteria; Bacillati; Bacillota; Bacilli; Caryophanales; Bacillaceae
Description: T-box
Rfam family: T-box leader
About the family: Uncharged tRNA acts as the effector for transcription antitermination of genes in the T-box leader family. T-boxes are found upstream of many aminoacyl-tRNA synthetase genes and some amino acid biosynthetic genes usually in Gram-positive bacteria.
Source: RNAcentral
CGAUAAACGUUGAAGAGGACUAGUAGCUUUAGAGUCAGUAUCUACAGAGAGCCGGUGCUAGCUGGAAACCGGUGUUACUUUCUAAAGUGAACUCACCUCUGAGUGUCUGCUUGAAAUGAUAGUAGGGCAGACCGAGUGACAUUGCUCACUCGUUACCAAAAUGGACGAAAGAUGUCCAUGAGACGGCAGCAGGAUUGCCGUGAACAAGGGUGGUACCGCGAAAAACAAAGCUUUUUCGCCCCUUUG